GACUGCUAUCCGGGUAAGACUAAGCCAUGCAAGUCGAAUGGAACAGCUUGUUCCAUGGCGAAACUGCUCAGUAACAAGUAAUCAACUUACCCUUCAGUGGAGAAUAACCUCGGGAAACUGAGGCUAAUACUUCAUAGUUGGAAAUUCCUGGAAUGGUUUUCCAUCGAAAGAUAUUUCUAAAUGCGGAAAAUUCGCUGAAGGAUAGGAUCGCUUUCGAUUACGGUUGUUGGUGAGGUAAUGGCUCACCAAGCCUAUGAUCGAUAAGGGCCGUGAGAGCGGUAGCCCUGAGAUGGAUACUGAGACAAUGAUCCAGGCCUUACGAGGCGCAGCAGGCGCGAAACCUUUACAAUGCACGAAAGUGUGAUAAGGUUACCCGGAGUGCCAAAAUUAAAUUUUGGCUGUUAUAGGUGUGUAAAUAACCCUAUGAGAAAGGAGAGGGCAAGGCUGGUGCCAGCCGCCGCGGUAAUUUGAGCUGUAUCAGUGCCGUAGGGAAACUGUUGGCGCGCCGCCUGGGAAGUACGCUCGCAAGGGUGAAACUAAAGGAAAU
RNAcentral lists this ribosomal RNA (547 nucleotides) under uncultured euryarchaeote. RNAcentral's name for it is "bacterial SSU rRNA". It matches the Rfam family "Archaeal small subunit ribosomal RNA", at positions 25 to 865 of the family's 1478-position model. The record is from RNAcentral. Lineage: Archaea; Methanobacteriati; Methanobacteriota.